Molecule: transfer RNA, 85 nt
Filed under: Bacillota bacterium
Lineage: Bacteria; Bacillati; Bacillota
Description: tRNA-Leu
Rfam family: tRNA
About the family: Transfer RNA (tRNA) molecules are approximately 80 nucleotides in length. Their secondary structure includes four short double-helical elements and three loops (D, anti-codon, and T loops).
Source: RNAcentral
GCCGGUAUGAUGGAAUUGGUAGUCAUGCUUGACUCAAAAUCAAGUGGGUUAUCCCGUGUCGGUUCGAGUCCGACUACCGGUACCA